CCAGCAGCCGCGGUAAUUCCUACGGGAGGCAGCAGUGGGGAAUUUUGGACAAUGGGCGCAAGCCUGAUCCAGCAAUGCCGCGUGGGUGAAGAAGGCCUUCGGGUCGUAAAGCUCUUUCAGUCGAGAAGAAAAGGCUGCAGUGAAUAACUGUAGUUUAUGACGGUAUCGACAGAAGAAGCACCGGCUAACUACGUGCCAGCAGCCGCGGUAAU
RNAcentral lists this ribosomal RNA (212 nucleotides) under uncultured bacterium. RNAcentral's name for it is "partial 16S ribosomal RNA". It matches the Rfam family "Bacterial small subunit ribosomal RNA", at positions 320 to 524 of the family's 1533-position model. The record is from RNAcentral.